RNAcentral lists this ribosomal RNA (59 nucleotides) under uncultured Debaryomyces. Its description in RNAcentral is "partial 28S ribosomal RNA". It matches the Rfam family "Eukaryotic large subunit ribosomal RNA", at positions 1 to 56 of the family's 3401-position model. Lineage: Eukaryota; Fungi; Ascomycota; Saccharomycetes; Saccharomycetales; Saccharomycetaceae. The record is from RNAcentral.
GUUUGACCUCAAAUUAGGUAGGAUUACCCGCUGAACUUAAGCAUAUCAAUAAGCGGAGG